GUGGACGUAGCUCAGCAGGUAGAGCCCCGGGUUGUGGCCUCGGUGGUCGUGGGUUCAAAUCCCAUCGUCCACCCCA
Molecule: transfer RNA, 76 nt
Filed under: Gammaproteobacteria bacterium
Lineage: Bacteria; Pseudomonadati; Pseudomonadota; Gammaproteobacteria
Description: tRNA-His
Rfam family: tRNA
About the family: Transfer RNA (tRNA) molecules are approximately 80 nucleotides in length.
Source: RNAcentral